This 423-nucleotide ribosomal RNA is filed under the name uncultured bacterium. RNAcentral describes it as "bacterial SSU rRNA". It matches the Rfam family "Bacterial small subunit ribosomal RNA", at positions 207 to 622 of the family's 1533-position model. The record is from RNAcentral.
AAGACCUUGCGCUUUUGGAGCGGCCGAUGUCUGAUUAGCUAGUUGGUAGGGUAAUGGCCUACCAAAGCUUCGAUCAGUAGCUGGUCUGAGAGGACGACCAGCCACACUGGGACUGAGACACGGCCCAGACUCCUACGGGAGGCAGCAGUGGGGAAUUUUGGACAAUGGGCGCAAGCCUGAUCCAGCCGUGCCGCGUGAGUGAAGAAGGCCUUCGGGUUGUAAAGCUCUUUCAGCCGGGAAGAAAAGGCUACGACGAAUAAUCGUAGCUCAUGACGGUACCGGAAGAAGAAGCACCGGCUAACUACGUGCCAGCAGCCGCGGUAAUACGUAGGGUGCGAGCGUUAAUCGGAAUUACUGGGCGUAAAGGGUGCGCAGGCGGUUUUGUAAGUCAGAUGUGAAAUCCCCGGGCUUAACCUGGGAACU